This is a non-coding RNA of Zootoca vivipara (common lizard), 718 nucleotides long. Lineage: Eukaryota; Metazoa; Chordata; Lepidosauria; Squamata; Lacertidae. The record is from RefSeq and is a predicted model, not a curated record.
CGGAGAGAUGCGGCGCAUCAUGGCGACAGGGGUGCUUAAGACGGCGCUGGCUGACCAUGGGCCACACACUCAGGGGCUGAAUGGAUUUGAAGUCUGACAACAUGUAGAGACAGCAACAGUACUGAAGAAGGCCCCAACAUAGCACUCAUACUGGAAAAUGGAGAAUCAGAACUGACCUUAGCCCAUGCGAUUAAUGUACUGGAACAUUGCACCCAUGCUGGGGGAUACAAAAUCAAAUGCAGCCCAGUACAAACUUGAAGACUAACAGAGGAAGCUGUAACUAAGAGGCAAGGAACCCAAAGGAAAGAUGCUUGGAGAAAAGAGGAAUGGAGUAAUGGAGGAUACAGGAGUUGAAGGAGAAGGUUGGAGGACUCAAGGAGAAAGGAAAACUCCAUAUCAGAGGGUUGAAUAAUGCUGGUUCAUGGUUCUCUCUCCCUCUCCCUCUCUCUCUCUCUUUGUGAGCAACAGAUGAUGAUUAUUAUUUUUCUAUCUCACAGGAGUAGCUCCAACAAGAAGGUACAUGAAUGCAUCACUUAUUGUACUUUGACCCUCUUCUGCAUAGAAUGAACAGGGACUCAAGAUGACCAAUGAUAAAGUGCACUAUAUAAUGUGUCCAUAUGUAAAAAAAAUAAAAAUACAAACAGCAGAAAGACCCACAAAUAUGUUUUGUUUAUUUGUAUCAUUGUUUACUACCUUUUAUAUAUGCUUCCGGGGUACA